This is a long non-coding RNA of Rhipicephalus sanguineus (brown dog tick), 1320 nucleotides long. RefSeq lists it as uncharacterized. The transcript is spliced from 3 exons. The record is from RefSeq and is a predicted model, not a curated record. Lineage: Eukaryota; Metazoa; Arthropoda; Arachnida; Ixodida; Ixodidae.
GAAAAAAGAGUGUUCCACACUCGCCGCCUGGGCUGCGAUUGGCGCUGACUAACACUCCUAGGUUUAAAUGAACAUAUAUACCCCAUAAAGUGGACGGGAGGAUGACCGCCGCCGUAGCUCAGUGGUAGAGCAUCGGACGCGUUAUUCGAAGGUCGCAGGUUCGGUCCCUGCCGGCGGCAAGUUAUCUUUUCGUCCACUUUACUUUCUUCAAAUUCAUAUUCUAAAUACCACAGAUAACACCCCCUAUACUUUCCUUGGCAUUAUUGUCUGUUAAUUCUCAUUAAUAUUGUGUCUAACAAACAAAAACGAGCCCUUAAGAGUCUCCUCCUUUCCUUCAUUCAUAGCGAGGGUCUCGUUCUGGCAGACUUGAUGCCUUCAGGUAGUAUGCGAGGGAUUAUUGGUCAGCUUCCAGCUCGUAAAAAGAUCACGUGCUACGUGACGCCAGGCAGAAAAAAGAGUGUUCCACACUCGCCGCCUGGGCUGCGAUUGGCGCUGACUAACACUCCUAGGUUUAAAUGAACAUAUAUACCCCAUAAAGUGGACGGGAGGAUGACCGCCGCCGUAGCUCAGUGGUAGAGCAUCGGACGCGUUAUUCGAAGGUCGCAGGUUCGGUCCCUGCCGGCGGCAAGUUAUCUUUCCGUCCACUUUACUUUCUUCAAAUUCAUAUUCUAAAUACCACAGAUAACACCCCCUAUACUUUCCUUGGCAUUAUUGUCUGUUAAUUCUCAUUAGUAUUGUGUCUAACAAACAAAAAACGAGCCCUUAAGAGUCUCCUCCUUUCCUUCAUUCAUAGCGAGGGUCCCGUUCUGGCAGACUUGAUGCCUUCAGGUAGUAUGCGAGGGAUUAUUGGUCAGCUUCCAGCUCGUAAAAAGGUCACGUGCUACGUGACGCCAGGCAGAAAAAAGAGUGUUCCACACUCGCCGCCUGGGCUGCGAUUGGCGCUGACUAACACUCCUAGGUUUAAAUGAACAUAUAUACCCCAUAAAGUGGACGGGAGGAUGACCGCCGCCGUAGCUCAGUGGUAGAGCAUCGGACGCGUUAUUCGAAGGUCGCAGGUUCGGUCCCUGCCGGCGGCAAGUUAUCUUUUCGUCCACUUUACUUUCUUCAAAUUCAUAUUCUAAAUACCACAGAUAACACCCCCUAUACUUUCCUUGGCAUUAUUGUCUGUUAAUUCUCAUUAGUAUUGUGUCUAACAAACAAAAAACGAGCCCUUAAGAGUCUCCUCCUUUCCUUCAUUCAUAGCGAGGGUCUCGUUCUGGCAGACUUGAUGCCUUCAGGUAGUAUGCGAGGGAUUAUUGGUCAGCUUCCAGCUCGUAAAAA